Oryctolagus cuniculus (rabbit) is the source of this 4590-nucleotide non-coding RNA. NCBI's taxonomy places the organism in Eukaryota, Metazoa, Chordata, Mammalia, Lagomorpha, Leporidae. The record is from RefSeq and is a predicted model, not a curated record.
GACAGUACUGAGGACCAAGGAGAUUAACUCAAUCAGGAUUGCACAGCCGGAGGAAGCAGUCGAGUUCUGAAUCCACGCGAAUGAAUACCAGAGACAUUUCUAUCCUAUAUGAUUCCAAUCCCUUAGGAGUCUCUGCAGCAAGAUUUCCAAAGUGGGAUUUCCUAGUAAAUCACUUGAAGGGGUUGAUUUAAGUGAGACUGUUGGACAUCAAUAGUAGCAUUCUUUAUGUUAAUAAGAAAUUUGGGUAAAAAUCCUUAUAUGUCUAAUAAUUAGGAAUUGAUGAAAUUAUAAUAUAUAUGUAUAAUGUUAAUUUAUGUCUCUGAUAAAGUAAAUAAUAUUUCUUUUUAAGAAAGAUUUAUUUAUGUUUUGUUUGAAAGGCAGAGUUACAGAGAGGCAGUGAGAGAGUGAGAAGAGAGAAAGAGAGUCUUCUAUCUGUUGGUUCACUCCCCAGACGGCUGCAACAGCUGGAACUGUGCUGAUCCAAAGUCAGGAGCCAGGAACUUCUGGGUCUUUCACGCAAGUGCAGCGGCCCAAGGAGUUGGGCUGUCUUCUACUGCUUCCCCAGGUCAUAGCAGAGAGCUAGAUUGCAAGUGGAGCUGCUGGGACUCGAACCUGCGUGGGAUGCCGGCACCGCAGGCGGCAGCUUUACCCACUACGCCGCAGUGCUGGCCCCAAGUAAAUAACAAUUCUUACUGUCCAAUUUCUACAUUGAACAUGAACUCAAAGAUAGAACAAGCCAGAGUGGUUUUAUGCCAGUUACUUAAGUAAAUGGCAUCAUUACUUCUCCGCCUUUCCCAGGGGCUGCUCUCCUGGGGACACAUUCCUGAGGAUAUUUUGCUUUUAAGUAAAUUAUGUACACCUGACUUCAGCUUUUAACUGGCCCCACAAUUAAUCUAUUUUGGAUAUGUCUCUAAAUUUUUCUUUUUCUCUCUCUGUCUUCUCGCCCUCCCUCUGACUCUCAUUUCUUUCUAAUGCUAGAAGUUUUGAUUCUAAAGAUACCUGAAUUCUGGUGCUGUUUCUUAAGCAAGCCUAUUAUUCUAUUUCCUCAUCCAUGUAAUGGCACUCAUAGCUGACCUCAUACGGUUUUUGUGACGUCUGAAUGAGAAAAUGCAUGUGCAGUGUCUAGAGCACCUGUGUGCACACAGGGAGCUCUCAGCAAUGGUAGCUGUUGCUACUUCCAUGGCUACUGGCUCCUCCUUUUCUUCCUCUUGUCUGUCUUACUUCCCUCUGUUCCUAUUUUCUCCUUUCUGCAUUUUUGUUCUUCCCUUCGUUGAUCCCUGAACUAUCACCCAAACUUCAUCUUUAAAAAACUACUUGUCAUAUCCAUCUAAUAAAGAUAGCUAUAAAAAUAAAAAAGUUAAAAAAAAAGUAAUUGUCUGGGCCAGAGUUGUGAUGUGGUGGGUAAAGCUGCUCCCUGCAAUGCUAGCAUCCCACGUGGGUGCCCGUUUGUGUCCUGGCUGCUCUGCUUCCGAUGCAGCUUCCUGCUAACGGCUUGGGAAAAGCAGCAGAAAAUGGCCCAGGUAUUUGGGUCCCUGCACCCACGUGGAAGACCUGGAUGAAGCUCCUUGUUCCUGGCUUCUGCCUGGCUCAGCCCUGGCCAUUACGGCCACUUGGGGAGUGAACCAGUCAAUGGAGGAUCUCUCUCUCUCUCUCUCUCUCUCUCUCUUUCCCUAUCCCUCUUUCCCUCUCUCCCUCCCUCCCUCACCUCCUCUCUCUUCUUUCUCUCUCCCUCCCCCUCCCUCUCCUUCCCUCCCCCCCCCACGUCUGUAACUCUUUCAGAUAAUAAAUAAAUCUUUUAAAAAACCAAAUUUUCUGUGAAACUGGAGAUAAAUGGACUGUUCUGUGUGUUUCUAUUAAGCUGGGACCAUAGGCACAGUUACCAGGGCACUUAAGGAGAUAGGUGUCAGCUCCACGUAAGGCAGCUUUUCCUACAAUGGGGAUGGUAGCAAGCUGCAUGAACUACCUGCAGAAGAUCUGAGUUUCCAGUCACUUGUAGAUUCUGAGCAGAGAUGGGACCACCCCUCAGUGAAGCUGGGGUACAGGGAACUCAGGCAGCAGAGGAGGGAAGAACUGGGGUGAACUUAUAAUGCCAGUGUGCAUGAUUAUAUUUUUAAGGAACAAAAAGAUCAUAAGAAAUAACUUAAACAAAAGCAAAAUCCUUCUUCCCCCAUUGCUGACCCUCACUUCCACUGGGUCAUUGUGAGCGUUGGCUUGAUCUUCCAUCGGUAGCACAUGAAUGCUGUUCAGCUGGCGAUGUUAACAAGCAGGUGGUGUAAUUGCCACACAGUGCUUGCUCAACCUCAGGGACAGGUGGGUACCUGCUUUGUUAACUUGUGGUGCACAACUACCCUUUAUUCACUCUUUGUAAAAGGAAUGAGUUCCCACAGUUUUCCAAUAGUUAUAUCUUAAUUCUCUGCAAAUCUCAUGACUAGCUUUCCUUCCCUUCUUUUCCUGAUUCUCUCUGUGCAUGGGAGAUGACAGCAACACCUACAGAAUUCCCUAGGAAGGAGGUCCUGGGAUACAAGAUCAGUUCCUAGUGCUUUGUCAUGCUCACGAUAAAUGGUGGAAUGGCCUCAAGGUCUGCAGUUGGCUUUGGUGGAGAGCACUUACGAGCCACAUGGAUGUAAGCCAGGUGCUUAAUGUAGCUAGACCUCAGUUUUGUCAGCUCUAAAAUGAACAUAAUAACACUUGGCCCAUCAGGUGUCUAUAAGAACUAAAUAAGAUAAACACAUGACGGAUGACUUGAUCAUUACACACCUAUCAAGUCUAUUCUAAGAAUCCAUUGGAUUUACAAGAGGUCCUUGACUUGCAAGGAAUCAUUAACCAGAAGCAACUUUUGCAGAUUCAAGGACUUGUGCUGGUGGCCUUGGAAAAGCAGCAGAAGAUGGUCCAAGUGUUGGGGCUCUGCCACCCAUGUGCCACUCAGCGCUGGUCAUUGUGGUCAUCUGGGGAGUGAAGGAGCAGAUGGAAGCUCUCGCUCGCUCACUCACUCUCUCGCUAUGUCUCUGUCUCUUCCUCUCUGUAACUCUGACUUUCAAAUAAAUAAAUCGAUCUUAAUAAAAAGACUGAUAUGUUUACUUUACAUGUUUGUUGAUGCUGAUCUUCCCCCAUGAAUUACCUGUUGUACCUUUGCCAAUUAUUACUUUAGCUUGCUCAUGUUUUGUGCAUUUUAAAAAAAUUUUUUUUCUUUUCAACAUUGUGCAUUUGUUUUUAAUAAUCAUUUUAUUGCAGUAAAAUCCACAGACUAAAAGUGUACAGCUUAGUGGUUUAUGUAUACUCAUAAAUUCUGUCAUGUGCUGCCACUGGUCUCUGAUGAGCUUGGUGAUGAACUAAGUGGUCUCCUUAAAUGUCUGGAAGCAUUAAUCUCUCAGAUUUGCUGAGAAGCUCAGUGUUUGCAUUUGAUCACGCCUUCAAUGCUUGGGCAGGAAGUUUACAACUUUGUCUUAAUUUUUACUUCCUGUGUGCCUAGAGUCUAAAGGUCAAGUCAGAGGUGAAAUCUUGGAGCAUGAAUGUAGCCUUUUGGAAUCCUGGAAAUAUUUCAGAACAACCCAAGCUUAUCCUUUUAAGUGUUUCAUCCAGCUUCUUGUUUACCCAAAGAUUAUUGCCACAGUUAUGAUGUUGUACAAUUGAUGCUGAUUGAUUUUAGCCCUGGAGAAAUGGCUUUUCAUAGUGGGCAAGCACUGACUUAGAUCAUAUAAGUGCUUGAAAGGAGUUGCAGACAGGUCAAAUGAUGACAGCUCUCAGAGGAUGUUGUUUUCCGGGUUCUCAAAAUCUAUUCUGUCCUCCCAAGUGGUUGCUAGGCUGCUGGACAAUAAGACUGCUGAUUUACAUCACAGAGCUGGGAGAGAGUACUGGGAAUAGGCAAAGUUACAUCACAACAAAAUUCACUGCUCUUACAAAGAUUCUUCCGCUUUGCAAGAAUAAAUGUUCCUCGGAUUGUUACAAGAUUUUGGCUAAUCUCCAAACUUCUAUAAAUUUUUAUUUUAUGAUUUUCUUAGAGUUCUUGUUGCUUUCAUGGACAAGAGGACUUUUAGAGGUCUUUGCUCUGCCAUUUCUACUGAUAUCACCCUCCAAGGUCAUUUCAGUCAUCCCUGGAAAACCACGUGGGUCUCAGGGGAAUUUUUAACCACAUCUUUUACUCUUCUAGGUUUAUUUCUUCCUAGAAGUCUCCCUUUUCAGAAUAUAAUAUAAAACAGGUAAAAAAAAAUGAACUUGUUUACCUCUGGUGUUAAGAAAGGAAAUGUCACCAUCAGAGUCCAUCUCAAUUACUGAAGCCAAGUUCAAAGUUCCCAUGGCCCUUUACUUGACAGCACUGAUAUUAGUUACCCAGGAGUAAGGAAACCCUUCCCCUGAAGUCAACCACCUACUUGUGCUAUCAUGGGUGCAGAAAAUUACUUGAAACAAAGAGGAUUAGAAUGUGUUAAGUACCCUCAGAAAAGUGAGUAAAAUAAAGGGGUGGUGUCCAGAGGAGGCAGAAAUCAUUCCCAUGUCUAGCAUAUUAGGGCAGGUUCCAGGAUAGAGCAUUGCAGGAUGUCCUUGAAGAAUUUUUCUUUUAACUGUCAGGCAGUGGAAAGAGAAUGAACAUUCACA